UACGGAAUGGGAUUUUUUAAUGGCAUCUCGAUAACUGCGUCGAGUUUCAGUUUGUUUAUUGAGGAAAUCGACCGUUGAACUUUUGGAUCAGCAGCCUUAUAAGCUUACCAGCAGACCAACGAGGCAUACUUCAAUAAGAGUCGAACAUCGAUGCAACCAUGCAAAAUUGCAUAUCCAUCUAACAACAAUGUGAUGUACGAAAGAUCUAAUGGUCGCUGGGGCAGAAAGGUUCUCGAGUAGUGAACACAAAUCAGAAGACAAAGCAUGGGCAGGCCGUCUACAAGGUGGACGGACGACAUUACAAGGGUCGCGGGAAGCCGUUA
This is a long non-coding RNA of Nymphalis io (European peacock), 323 nucleotides long. RefSeq lists it as uncharacterized. The record is from RefSeq and is a predicted model, not a curated record. NCBI's taxonomy places the organism in Eukaryota, Metazoa, Arthropoda, Insecta, Lepidoptera, Nymphalidae. The transcript is spliced from 3 exons.